UACGGAGGGUGCAAGCGUUAUCCGGAUUCACUGGGUUUAAAGGGUGCGUAGGUGGGUUGGUAAGUCAGUGGUGAAAUCCUCGAGCUUAACUUGGGAACUGCCAUUGAUACUAUCAAUCUUGAAUAUUGUGGAGGUCAGCGGAAUAUGUCAUGUAGCGGUGAAAUGCCUAGAUAUGACAUAGAACACCAAUUGCGAAGGCAGCUGACUACUCAUAUAUUGACACUGAGGCACGAAAGCGUGGGGAUCAAACAGG
This 253-nucleotide ribosomal RNA is filed under the name uncultured Terrimonas sp. RNAcentral describes it as "partial 16S ribosomal RNA". It matches the Rfam family "Bacterial small subunit ribosomal RNA", at positions 524 to 776 of the family's 1533-position model. The record is from RNAcentral. Lineage: Bacteria; Pseudomonadati; Bacteroidota; Chitinophagia; Chitinophagales; Chitinophagaceae.